GUCUUCGGACUUAGCGGCGGACGGGUGAGUAACACGUAGGAACCUGCCCAGAAGUGGGGGAUAACUCCUCGAAAGAGGGGCUAAUACCGCAUACGGUCUACGGACCAAAGCAGCAAUGCGCUACUGGAGGGGCCUGCGGUGGAUUAGCUAGUUGGUGGGGUAAUGGCCUACCAAGGCGACGAUCCAUAGCUGGUCUGAGAGGAUGAUCAGCCACACUGGAACUGAGACACGGUCCAGACUCC
Molecule: ribosomal RNA, 242 nt
Filed under: uncultured bacterium
Lineage: Bacteria
Description: partial 16S ribosomal RNA
Rfam family: Bacterial small subunit ribosomal RNA
Source: RNAcentral